CUUCGGAUGGCGGAAACCGGCGCACGGGUGAGUAACGCGUACGCAACCUACCCUUAACUGGGGGAUAGCCUUGGGAAACUGAGAUUAAUACCCCAUAGUUUUCGAUUGUGGCAUCGCGAUCGAAAUAAAGUUCCGAUGGUUAAGGAUGGGCGUGCGUCCUAUUAGUUAGUUGGUGAGGUAACGGCUCACCAAGACAAUGAUAGGUAGGGGGCGUGAGAGCGUGAUCCCCCACACGGGUACUGAGACACGGACCCG
This 255-nucleotide ribosomal RNA is filed under the name uncultured bacterium. RNAcentral's name for it is "partial 16S ribosomal RNA". It matches the Rfam family "Bacterial small subunit ribosomal RNA", at positions 78 to 334 of the family's 1533-position model. The record is from RNAcentral.